Molecule: ribosomal RNA, 501 nt
Filed under: uncultured bacterium
Lineage: Bacteria
Description: partial 16S ribosomal RNA
Rfam family: Bacterial small subunit ribosomal RNA
Source: RNAcentral
AUUGAACGCUGGCGGCAGGCUUAACACAUGCAAGUCGAGCGGAGAUGAGGUGCUUGCACCUUAUCUUAGCGGCGGACGGGUGAGUAAUGCUUAGGAAUCUGCCUAUUAGUGGGGGACAACAUUCCGAAAGGAAUGCUAAUACCGCAUACGUCCUACGGGAGAAAGCAGGGGAUCUUCGGACCUUGCGCUAAUAGAUGAGCCUAAGUCGGAUUAGCUAGUUGGUGGGGUAAAGGCCUACCAAGGCGACGAUCUGUAGCGGGUCUGAGAGGAUGAUCCGCCACACUGGGACUGGAACACGGCCCAGACUCCUACGGGAGGCAGCAGUGGGGAAUAUUGGACAAUGGGGGAAACCCUGAUCCAGCCAUGCCGCGUGUGUGAAGAAGGCCUUAUGGUUGUAAAGCACUUUAAGCGAGGAGGAGGCUACUGAGACUAAUACUCUUGGAUAGUGGACGUUACUCGCAGAAUAAGCACCUGCUAACCACGUGCCAGCCGCCGCAGUAA